GGUCGGGUAUCUCAGUGUGGAAGAGACUACGCCUGAAAAGCGCAGGGGUCGCAAGUUCAAAUCUUGCCCCGACCA
This 75-nucleotide transfer RNA is filed under the name Candidatus Saccharimonadota bacterium. RNAcentral describes it as "tRNA-Phe". It matches the Rfam family "tRNA". From Rfam's summary of the family: Transfer RNA (tRNA) molecules are approximately 80 nucleotides in length. Their secondary structure includes four short double-helical elements and three loops (D, anti-codon, and T loops). Lineage: Bacteria; Candidatus Saccharimonadota. The record is from RNAcentral.